AUCUUUUUAUUUAAGCUCUGUGCUAAAAUUGCAUAAACUACUAUCAUGUCUUUAUAUUUCUAAUAAAGCUAACAGGAGAAAAAAAAACAAAAACCAAAAAACAACUGUACCAGAUAAAACAAAACUGAGAUGGGGCCAGUGAGUGGCACGGAGGUUAAGGUAAUGGCCCGCACAUGGCCCACUAGAC
This 187-nucleotide small nucleolar RNA is filed under the name Tupaia belangeri (northern tree shrew). Its description in RNAcentral is "Small nucleolar RNA SNORA81 (ENSTBEG00000021200.1)". Lineage: Eukaryota; Metazoa; Chordata; Mammalia; Scandentia; Tupaiidae. The record is from RNAcentral.